Heterocephalus glaber (naked mole-rat) is the source of this 407-nucleotide long non-coding RNA. Lineage: Eukaryota; Metazoa; Chordata; Mammalia; Rodentia; Bathyergidae. The record is from Ensembl.
AAUGCUUCCUCUCCAAGGUUGAAUUCUGAGCCUUGGGGACACAGCUCCUGAGACCUUUGCCAUGUUGGGGAGUGAUAACAUCUGAUACAGGCUCUGGAAUCCCUGGACAUUCCUGGGAGAUAGCAGCAGCUUUUGUUCUGCUAAGAAAGAUGCUGUCUGGGCUACUAGGAAACGCUCCCCCCAUCUCCCGCCGUGAUGGGAGGCUGAUGUGAAACACAAGAGCAGUGACAGUCCCACCACCUGGAAGUUAGCACAGUCCCCCCAGCCAGUGGCUGCCUCCACACCUCCAGCACUGGCCUGGGACCCAGUCCUGAGCGAGUGCCACAAAAGCUGUGAGGCGUCAGCAGCAGUGCUGCUUUACUGCCAAGCAGCUGGGACAGGUGGAGCAGAAGCCAUCUGUGCUCUGG